Molecule: ribosomal RNA, 485 nt
Filed under: uncultured bacterium
Lineage: Bacteria
Description: partial 16S ribosomal RNA
Rfam family: Bacterial small subunit ribosomal RNA
Source: RNAcentral
AUUGAACGCUGGCGGCAUGCCUUACACAUGCAAGUCGAACGGCAGCACGGGUGCUUGCACCUGGUGGCGAGUGGCGAACGGGUGAGUAAUACAUCGGAACAUGUCCUGUAGUGGGGGAUAGCCCGGCGAAAGCCGGAUUAAUACCGCAUACGAUCUACGGAUGAAAGCGGGGGACCUUCGGGCCUCGCGCUAUAGGGUUGGCCGAUGGCUGAUUAGCUAGUUGGUGGGGUAAAGCCCUACCAAGGCGACGACCAGUAGCUGGUCUGAGAGGACGACCAGCAACACAGGGGUAGAGACCGGCCCGCAAUCAAUAAGGGAGGCAGGAGGGGGAAAUUUCGGAAAAUGGGCAAAAGAUUUACCGAAAAAUGCAGCGUGUGGGAAGAGGGCCUCGGGGUUGUAAAAACCUUUUGUCAGAAAAGAAAUCAUUGGCCUAAAAGCGGGCGGGGGAUGACGAUACCGAAAAAAAAAGCCCCGGAAAAUUAGGA